GCGAGAUUUCCAAAACUGACCUAUAAAGGCAAUAACACAAACAAUAUCAUAAUCUCAUAUUCGAUAACCAGAAUAACAACUUCCCAUUUUUAUCUACUUACUGGUAUCCAUGGGGGUCUAUAGGGAUGUCCUCACUACGCGUGAACCCUUAUUCAACAUUAUCAACUAACCAACCGUCCCCAUACCCCGUCCGGUAUGAGCACCAAAAUACCAAUCCUCAAUACCCCGUUCAGUGUGAGGCAACAUUCACGGUAGGGUUUCUUAUGCACCCGGUCCAUCCACUAU
Molecule: long non-coding RNA, 285 nt
Filed under: Carica papaya (papaya)
Lineage: Eukaryota; Viridiplantae; Streptophyta; Magnoliopsida; Brassicales; Caricaceae
Description: long non-coding RNA (CPAP_LNC002517)
Source: RNAcentral